UACGUAGGUGGCAAGCGUUGUCCGGAUUUAUUGGGUUUAAAGGGUGCGUAGGCGGUCCUAUAAGUCAGUGCUGAAAUAUCCCGGCUUAACCGGGAGGGUGGCAUUGAUACUGCAGGACUUGAGUAAAGUUGAGGUAGGCGGAAUUGACGGUGUAGCGGUGAAAUGCGUAGAUAUCUGGAGGAACACCGGUGGCGAAGGCGGCAUCCUGGACCGACACUGACGCUGAGGCGCGAAAGCUAGGGGAGCAAACGGG
Molecule: ribosomal RNA, 253 nt
Filed under: uncultured bacterium
Lineage: Bacteria
Description: partial 16S ribosomal RNA
Rfam family: Bacterial small subunit ribosomal RNA
Source: RNAcentral